GCAGACGACCAUAAGGGUGUCGCCUUUCGUGAUGGGCUUGACCUCGCCAAGCUUGAUAGUUUUUCCAACCUCGGCCGCGAAAGCCUUGCUUCCUGUCACCAUGGUAAUCUCUACAGGGCCAAGGGUGGAGGUGACGAACUCGGCCAUUUCUUCCAUGGAAGCCACACACUUCAUCUUCCCCCCAGCAUUGUCAUUGCAGAGUUCCAGAGUGAAGGCCAUCUUUCUUGCCAGUGGAGACUCCUUUGGGACGUUAAACUCUUUCAAGUAAGAGUCAAGGCUCCGCUUACCGAAGUUUGUGUGCUUAGCCAUUGCGUUUGGCAGGAGUGCCCGUGGAGGAUAAGUGUCACGGAUGUUUGGGAGGACACUUUCAGUUCCUGUCAAGAUUUUCCACAAGUACGAGUAAAUAAGUUUGCAAAAGGAAUGUUUGGACUUACCGUUUCUCUGUCGGAGUUCUUCCAGUGUGAAGAAGUGAUGGAGCAUUCCAGGGGAGCAUUUCGCUAUUAAGGCUUUGAUGGUUGGCCAGUCCAUAGAGUGCAGUGACUUCCUUCCUCCAUAACCCUCUUCCUCGUACUCAGUAAAAAUCUGGAUCAAAUACAGCGGCAUGUUCUUCUUGCAACUAGUGCUUGGUUUGACAGAAGCAUCGCCAAAGUGAGCAUUUCCUCCUAAUCCGUGGUCACCAAAGUGAGCAUUUCCACCUAGAGAAGCAUCACCAAAGUGAGCAUUUACGCCUAAACCAUGGUCUUUGAAGUCCCCAAAGUGAGCAUUGCCACCCAAACUUUGGUCUUUGAAGUCACCAAAGUGAGCAUUACCACCCAAACCAUGAUCUUUGAAAUCGCCGAAGUGCGCGUUGCCACCCAAACCAUGGUCUUUGAAGUCCCCAAAAUGAGCAUUGCCACCCAAACUUUGGUCUUUGAAGUCACCAAAGUGAGCAUUACCACCCAAACCAUGAUCUUUGAAGUCACCAAAGUGAGCAUUACCACCCAAACCAUGAUCUUUGAAAUCGCCGAAGUGCGCGUUGCCACCCAAACCAUGGUCUUUGAAGUCCCCAAAAUGAGCAUUGCCACCCAAACUUUGGUCUUUGAAGUCACCAAAGUGAGCAUUACCACCCAAACCAUGAUCUUUGAAAUCGCCGAAGUGCGCGUUGCCACCCAAACCAUGGUCUUUGAAAUCGCCAAAAUGGGCGUUGCCACCCAAUGACCCAUGGUCUUUGAAAUCGCCAAAGUGGGCAUUGCCACCCAAGUCAUGGUCUUUGAAGUCGCCGAAGUGUGCAUCUCCACCCAAUGAUCCGUGGUCUUUGAAGUCACCAAAGUGCGUAUUUCCACCCAAUCCAGUGUCACCAAAGUGAGCAUUUCCGCCAAGCCCGUGAUCCUUACGAAAGUCACCAAAGUGAGCGUUUCCACCCAGAGCUCCAUGAUCUUUGAAGUCACCAAAGUGUGCAUUGCCGCCAAGAUCUCUGGCUUCCAGCGAGCGUACACGGUCAUGGAAGUCACCAAAGUGAGCAUUCCCUCCGAGCUUGCUUGCUGCAAGGGCGGUCUUCUCUGCAGCAUCGCCAAAGUGGGCAUUGCCUCCAUGCCUUCCGUAAGGAUGACAAAAAAGUCCUGCACGGUGGCAAAGCUUUGCAUCGGCCGUGAAAACGCCUCUUCUCAUCUGCUCGCCGAAGCGAGCCGAUUCGAAUGCCCCCAGAGGCGAGGCUUCAUCGGCGAAACUCGUGGAGAUUAUGUCACUGCAUUCGGAAAGCUGCCAAACAGGAAUCCCCAGCUUUAAUAACGAUUGAACGAUAUAAGUUGGAAAGAACUACUUACAAGGAGAGACGAGAAGAGAAGAGAUAGGCCGAGCGCAAGGCGAUCCAUGGUCUUGCGAUGGGGCUGGAAGCCAGAAUUUAUUGAUCGUAGUCUCACUGUGCAAGUAAAGAGACAGAUAUCUUUCAAGCCUCCGUGGCUUUAACUCUUUUGUCCGGGAGCGUGAAUUAUAGAGGAAGAAUUCAAUUUAGAAUUGCAUGUUGAAACUUUUGCUAAAACUCUUUAUAAUUGCAUUGAUUAAUUGAUCGAUUUUGGAGAUAAGGACCCGCACCAACUUUCGGGCCGGACGAAUUCUCGCAGAAUUUUCAAGAUAAUUAUUUAAUCUAAUUAAUUUGUAUUAAGGUUGGGACUACUUCUUCUUCCGCAAUUGAUCCAUUACCAGCACUGGCUGAUAUUGCCAAGGUAAAAAUACAUUUUCUAGUUAUUGAAUGUUUUAUUAAUUUCCAAGAGACGGGAAUGUGGGAUGUGGUUCCAUGUUGAUGCAGCUUAUGCUGGUAAUGCCUGCAUUUGUCCAGAAUUUCGACAUUUUUUAAAUGGUGUUGAAAAUGCCCACUCUUUUAAUCUAAGUGCAAAUAAGUGGCUUCUUACCAAUAUUGACUGUUCCAUACUUUGGCUGAAGGUUUGAUCUUUUACAAACGUUACAAUCAAUUUUUAAUAUACUCUUACAGGACUCUAAGCAGCUAUCUUCGACACUUUCAACAUUAACAAACAUACAGGUAUGAGUUCUUAAAUCUACUCUUUUUCAUAGUUCAAUUCAGUCUCGGGUGGUAAAUUUCAAAGAUGGCAAGUUGCUCAAGGAAGACGAUUUAGGUAAGUGCGAAUAAUUCUUUUUCCUUUGACAUGGGAUACUCUUUUCCAAUCUUUAAAGCUGUGGUUUGUGAUGCGCUUGUAUGGAGCCUCGGGACUUCGUAGCCACAUAAGAACUCACAUAAACCAUGCUAAGCAUUUCGAGAUCCUUGUGCCAGAGGACUCUCGCUUUGAGGUAUAACUCGUGAGAGUUCUCUAAAAUUGUGAGACCAUGAUCUACGUUUGUGAGUUGCCAGUCUUAGCACCAUGUCGAUUUGGUCUCGUUUGCUUCAGGCUCAAACCAAGUGUAAAACAGUAAGGGCCAACAGCGUCGAGCGCCGUCAGGUGGUCGAAGAUUGGAAUAGACACUCGGAGAGAUCUCUGUGAAGAUAACGGAUGGAAACUGAACUGUUUGCUUCUGGAAACUGUUAACUCUGGGGGAAAGAUUUUCAUGACACACACUGUAAGAAGCUCUCAAGCUAUAGUGAAAUGGGACUAUAACCGAUUUAUCCUCAGGUACUCUCGGGCGUGUAUACAUUGAAUGUCAAUUGGUGGCACGCAGACUAAACGUGAAAAUGUUGAUGGUGCGUGGAAGAUAAUCCGCACAAAACUUGUUAGAUCAAGAUUAAUAAGACCAGGUUAUAAUAUCAAGAUAAUAUCCUUGUGCAUUUAAGAAUAAUAAUUAACUAAGAAAACCUAGCUUUUAAAAUGGUGAAAAUCCACGUGUGAGAAAGGGGCGAGUCUCGGAAGAGUUCUAGAUGUGGUGACUAGGUAUGUUUUUCUCUUUUCCUUUGUAUCCGUUCCAGGUACUAGGGUCGCCAGGCAGCAGCAUUGCCCGAGCAAGAGGGCUGUAGAAAGAUCGGGGAUCAAGCAGCCAAAGAAAAACUAUAACCAGGCUAUAUUUCUCAAGAUUGUCUCCCAGGAUCGCCAGGAGCUUUUCAGGAAGCAAUGCGGAGAGCCCAUCAUCAAGAAAUCCAUUGAGAAGAGGGAAUUUUUGCUAGGAAACCAUUUGAACUGGAGAACACACAUAACUGUGGUUUUUGCUGGCGCGGUUUUGCUUGCAACACCUGCGUUUGCGGCCGAUGCUCUCAAGACAUGUUCCUGUCUUCUCAAAGAAUGCUGGUAAUUUUAUUCUUCUCUUUUGUCCUUCAAGAAAGAUGAGUUUUUUUUUUCUUCCCUAGAUUGGAGCCUGCUUGAUGUAUUGCAGAUCCUUCGUGUGGUGCCAAUGUUGCGUGCUUGCAAACUUGUAAUGAUUGACCUAACAAGACUGAGUGCCAAGUAAGUCUCUAGAUUUUGUGUAAAACUUCUUUUGGAUUGAUCGACCAUUGUGAUUCACAAAUACUUUCAGAUAAAAUGCAGAAACAUUUUCGAAAACAAGGUGGUGGAUAAUUGAGUGGUGAAAAUGCAGAGACAUUUUCAAGAACAAGGUGGUGGACGAAUUCAACGAUUGUGCAGUGAGCUGCAAGAGCUGCAUCCCGCAGAAGAAAGACGAGUGGCAUUUCCGAGUCCCGCCACCCUCGGCACUUGUCCAGAGCUUCAACACCACGAAGUUUACUGGGAAAUGGUUCAUCUCCAAAUGUGUUUAAAAUAAUGAAGUUGUUUAAUAUUUAAAAUAUUUAUUUACAACUUAUCAAGACGUUAAAAAAAAAGUAAUAUAAUUUCAAAUAUUUUUUGUUGUUAACCCCAAAGCCAAUAAGUAUUAUUAUUAUUACAAUCAAGCAUAAACAGUGGCAAUGGGAACGAACAUAAUGACCGUUUCCACAAACCAGUGACAAACAUAAGUCUUGCCCAUCUUGUGGCACAGCACAUUUGGAGUGAGCUCCAUCCCACUGCUGGUCUUCACAUUUACUUUGGAAGCGCUGGUGCUACUCACCUUGUGACAGAAGUAGACUUUGUAUGGAAACAUAGUUGUGUGGCAGACGACCAUAAGAGUGUCGCCUUUCGUGAUGGGCUUGACCUCGCCAAGCUUGAUAGUUUUUCCAACCUCGGCCGCGAAAGCCUUGCUUCCUGUCACCAUGGUAAUCUCUACAGGGCCAAGGGUGGAGGUGACGAACUCGGCCAUUUCUUCCAUGGAAGCCACACACUUCAUCUUCCCCCCAGCAUUGUCAUUGCAGAGUUCCAGAGUGAAAGCCAUUUUUCUUGCCAGUGGAGACUCCUUUGGGACGUUAAACUCUUUCAAGUAAGAGUCAAGGCUCCGCUUACCGAAGUUUGUGUGCUUAGCCAUUGCACUUGGCAGGAGUGCCCGUGGAGGAUAAGUGUCACGGAUGUUUGGGAGGACACUUUCAGUUCCUGUCAAGAUUUUCCACAAGUACGAGUAAAUAAGUUUGCAAAAGGAAUGUUUGGACUUACCGUUUCUCUGUCGGAGUUCUUCCAGUGUGAAGAAGUGAUGGAGCAUUCCAGGGGAGCAUUUCGCUAUUAAGGCUUUGAUGGUUGGCCAGUCCAUAGAGUGCAGUGACUUCCUUCCUCCAUAACCCUCUUCCUCGUACUCA
This 5074-nucleotide long non-coding RNA is filed under the name Selaginella moellendorffii. RNAcentral describes it as "long non-coding RNA (SMOE_LNC001694)". Lineage: Eukaryota; Viridiplantae; Streptophyta; Lycopodiopsida; Selaginellales; Selaginellaceae. The record is from RNAcentral.